RNAcentral lists this transfer RNA (70 nucleotides) under Loxodonta africana (African savanna elephant). It matches the Rfam family "tRNA". From Rfam's summary of the family: Transfer RNA (tRNA) molecules are approximately 80 nucleotides in length. Their secondary structure includes four short double-helical elements and three loops (D, anti-codon, and T loops). Further hydrogen bonds mediate the characteristic L-shaped molecular structure. tRNAs have two regions of fundamental functional importance: the anti-codon, which is responsible for specific mRNA codon recognition, and the 3' end, to which the tRNAs corresponding amino acid is attached (by aminoacyl-tRNA synthetases). tRNAs cope with the degeneracy of the genetic code in two manners: having more than one tRNA (with a specific anti-codon) for a particular amino acid; and 'wobble' base-pairing, i.e. permitting non-standard base-pairing at the 3rd anti-codon position. The record is from Rfam by way of RNAcentral. Lineage: Eukaryota; Metazoa; Chordata; Mammalia; Proboscidea; Elephantidae.
GCAGCAGUGGUUCAGUGGUAGAAUUCUUGCUUCCAUGCAGGAGACCUGGGUUCAAUUCCCAGCCAGUGCA